RNAcentral lists this ribosomal RNA (152 nucleotides) under uncultured bacterium. Its description in RNAcentral is "partial 16S ribosomal RNA". It matches the Rfam family "Bacterial small subunit ribosomal RNA", at positions 355 to 524 of the family's 1533-position model. The record is from RNAcentral.
UCGGGAAUUUUGCUCAAUGGGCGAAAGCCUGAAGCAGCAACGCCGCGUGAGGGAUGAAGGCCUUCGGGUUGUAAACCUCUUUUUUCAGGGACGAUGAUGACGGUACCUGAAGAAUAAGUCACGGCUAACUACGUGCCAGCAGCCGCGGUAAU